Molecule: ribosomal RNA, 443 nt
Filed under: uncultured bacterium
Lineage: Bacteria
Description: partial 16S ribosomal RNA
Rfam family: Bacterial small subunit ribosomal RNA
Source: RNAcentral
CCUACGGGAGGCUGCAGUGGGGAAUAUUGGGCAAUGGGCGCAAGCCUGACCCAGCAACGCCGCGUGAAGGAAGAAGGCUUUCGGGUUGUAAACUUCUUUUCUGAGGGACGAAGAAAGUGACGGUACCUCAGGAAUAAGCCACGGCUAACUACGUGCCAGCAGCCGCGGUAAUACGUAGGUGGCAAGCGUUAUCCGGAUUUAUUGGGUGUAAAGGGCGUGUAGGCGGGAAAGCAAGUCAGAUGUGAAAACUCAGGGCUCAACCCUGAGCCUGCAUUUGAAACUGUUUUUCUUGAGUGCUGGAGAGGCAAUCGGAAUUCCGUGUGUACCGGUGAAAUGCGGAGAUAUACGGAGGAACACCAGUGGCGAAGGCAGCAUACCGGCGCUCAACUGACGCUGAGGCACGAAAGCGUGGGGAUCGAACAGGAUUAGAUACCCGAGUAGUC